AGGUUUUUAAUGAGGCAAAUGAU
Molecule: non-coding RNA, 23 nt
Filed under: Arabidopsis thaliana (thale cress)
Lineage: Eukaryota; Viridiplantae; Streptophyta; Magnoliopsida; Brassicales; Brassicaceae
Source: RNAcentral